This 492-nucleotide ribosomal RNA is filed under the name uncultured bacterium. RNAcentral's name for it is "partial 16S ribosomal RNA". It matches the Rfam family "Bacterial small subunit ribosomal RNA", at positions 28 to 507 of the family's 1533-position model. The record is from RNAcentral.
GAUGAACGCUAGCUACAGGCUUAACACAUGCAAGUCGAGGGGAAACGCCAUCGAAAGCUUGCUUUUGAUGGGCGUCGACCGGCGCACGGGUGAGUAACGCGUAUCCAACCUGCCCACCACUUGGGGAUAACCUUGCGAAAGUAAGACUAAUACCCAAUGACGUCUCUAGAAGACAUCUGAAAGAGAUUAAAGAUUUAUCGGUGAUGGAUGGGGAUGCGUCUGAUUAGCUUGUUGGCGGGGUAACGGCCCACCAAGGCGACGAUCAGUAGGGGUUCUGAGGGGAAGGUACCCCACAUUGGAGCUACGGCCCGGUCCACUCUCCUACGGGAGGCAGCAGUGAGGAAUAUUGGUCAAUGGACGAGAGUCUGAACCAGCCAAGUAGCGUGCAGGAUGACGGCCCUAUGGGUUGUAAACUGCUUUUAUAAGGGAAUAAAGUGAGUCUCGUGAGACUUUUUGCAUGUACCUUAUGAAUAAGGACCGGCUAAUUCCGUG